GUCUAUGGCCAUGCUACCCUGAACAAGCCCGAUCCCGUCUGAUCUCAGAAGCUGAGCAAGGUCGGGCCUGGUUAGUACUUGGAUUGGAGACCACCUGGGAAGACCAGGUGCUGUAGGCG
Molecule: ribosomal RNA, 119 nt
Filed under: Pteropus alecto (black flying fox)
Lineage: Eukaryota; Metazoa; Chordata; Mammalia; Chiroptera; Pteropodidae
Source: RNAcentral